Molecule: ribosomal RNA, 113 nt
Filed under: Carlito syrichta (Philippine tarsier)
Lineage: Eukaryota; Metazoa; Chordata; Mammalia; Primates; Tarsiidae
Source: RNAcentral
CUCUAUGGCUAUCCCACCCUGAACGCACCAGAUCUCAUCUGAUCUCAAAAGCUAAGCAGGUUUGGGUGUGGUGAGUACUUGGAAGGAGGACCAGAGUGCUGAGAUUAUAGGCA